RNAcentral lists this ribosomal RNA (255 nucleotides) under uncultured bacterium. RNAcentral's name for it is "partial 16S ribosomal RNA". It matches the Rfam family "Bacterial small subunit ribosomal RNA", at positions 524 to 776 of the family's 1533-position model. The record is from RNAcentral.
GACAGAGGGUGCAAACGUUGUUCGGAAUUACUGGGCGUAAAGCGCGUGUAGGCUGCUUCGCAAGUCGGAUGUGAAAGCCCUGGGCUCAACCCAGGAAGUGCAUUCGAAAACUGCAGAGCUGGAGUCCUGGAGAGGAAGGCGGAAUUCUCGGUGUAGAGGUGAAAUUCGUAGAUAUCGAGAGGAACACCGGUGGCGAAGGCGGCCUUCUGGACAGUGACUGACGCUGAGACGCGGAAAGCGUGGGGAGCAAACAGG